This 370-nucleotide RNase P RNA is filed under the name Flavobacteriales bacterium. RNAcentral describes it as "RNase P RNA component class A". It matches the Rfam family "Bacterial RNase P class A". From Rfam's summary of the family: Ribonuclease P (RNase P) is a ubiquitous endoribonuclease, found in archaea, bacteria and eukarya as well as chloroplasts and mitochondria. Its best characterised activity is the generation of mature 5'-ends of tRNAs by cleaving the 5'-leader elements of precursor-tRNAs. Lineage: Bacteria; Pseudomonadati; Bacteroidota; Flavobacteriia; Flavobacteriales. The record is from RNAcentral.
GCGGUUGGCUGGAUGGCUGCGGGUUAAAAGACUCGAGGAAAGUCCGGACUCCAUAAAGCAACGGUGCCGGAUAACUCCCGGCCAGGGUAACCUGAGGGAAAGCGCAACAGAAAGUAUACCGCCUCUUUAGAGGUAAGGGUGAAAUGGUGAGGUAAGAGCUCACCACACGAUUGGUAACAAACGUGGUACGGCAAGCCCCACCGGGAGCAACGCCAAAUAGGAACCUACUGGAUGUAAAUCCAAAGCUGCUUUAGCUUUUUUGGUUCGGGUUGGCGGCUUAAGGAAUGCAGGUAACUGUAUUUCUAGAUGAAUGGCCAUACAAAGAGUUUUAACUCUUGGACAGAAUCCGGCUUAUAGGCCAACCGCACUU